GACGAACGCUGGCGGCGUGCUUAACACAUGCAAGUCGAACGGAAAGGCCCUGCUUUUGUGGGGUGCUCGAGUGGCGAACGGGUGAGUAACACGUGAGUAACCUGCCCUUGACUUUGGGAUAACUUCAGGAAACUGGGGCUAAUACCGGAUAGGAGCUCCUGCUGCAUGGUGGGGGUUUGAAAGUUUCGGCGGUUGGGGCUGGACUCGCGGCUUAUCAGCUUGUUGGUGGGGUAGUGGCUUACCAAGGCUUUGACGGGUAGCCGGCCUGAGAGGGUGACCGGCCACAUUGGGACUGAGAUACGGCCCAGACUCCUACGGGAGGCAGCAGUGGGGAAUAUUGCACAAUGGGCGGAAGCCUGAUGCAGCAACGCCGCGUGCGGGAUGACGGCCUUCGGGUUGUAAACCGCUUUCGCCUGUGACGAAGCGUGAGUGACGGUAAUGGGUAAAGAAGCACCGGCUAACUACGUG
RNAcentral lists this ribosomal RNA (468 nucleotides) under uncultured bacterium. Its description in RNAcentral is "partial 16S ribosomal RNA". It matches the Rfam family "Bacterial small subunit ribosomal RNA", at positions 28 to 507 of the family's 1533-position model. The record is from RNAcentral.